AUACGUAGGUGGCAAGCGUUAUCCGGAUUUAUUGGGCGUAAAGCGAGCGCAGGCGGUUUUUUAAGUCUGAUGUGAAAGCCCUCGGCUUAACCGAGGAAGCGCAUCGGAAACUGGGAAACUUGAGUGCAGAAGAGGACAGUGGAACUCCAUGUGUAGCGGUGAAAUGCGUAGAUAUAUGGAAGAACACCAGUGGCGAAGGCGGCUGUCUGGUCUGUAACUGACGCUGAGGCUCGAAAGCAUGGGUAGCGAACAGGAUUAGAUACCCUGGUAGUCCAUGCCGUAAACGAUGAAUGCUAGGUGUUGGAGGGUUUCCGCCCUUCAGUGCCGCAGCUAACGCAUUAAGCAUUCCGCCUGGGGAGUACGACCGCAAGGUUGAAACUCAAAGGAAUUGACGGGGGCCCGCACAAGCGGUGGAGCAUGUGGUUUAAUUCGAAGCAACGCGAAGAACCUUACCAGGUCUUGACAUCUUUUGAUCACCUGAGAGAUCAGGUUUCCCCUUCGGGGGCAAAAUGACAGGUGGUGCAUGGUUGUCGUCAGCUCGUGUCGUGAGAUGUUGGGUUAAGUCCCGCAACGAGCGCAACCCUUAUGACUAGUUGCCAGCAUUUAGUUGGGCACUCUAGUAAGACUGCCGGUGACAAACCGGAGGAAGGUGGGGAUGACGUCAAAUCAUCAUGCCCUUUAUGACCUGGGCUACACACGUGCUACAAUGGAUGGUACAACGAGUUGCGAGACCGCGAGGUCAAGCUAAUCUCUUAAAGCCAUUCUCAGUUCGGACUGUAGGCUGCAACUCGCCUACACGAAGUCGGAAUCGCUAGUAAUCGCGGAUCAGCACGCCGCGGUGAAUACGUUCCCGGGCCUUGUACACACCGCCCGUCACACCAUGAGAGUUUGUAACACCCGAAGCCGGUGGCGUAACCCUUUUAGGGAGCGAGCCGUCUAAGGUGGGACAAAUGAUUAGGGUG
RNAcentral lists this ribosomal RNA (962 nucleotides) under uncultured bacterium. RNAcentral's name for it is "bacterial SSU rRNA". It matches the Rfam family "Bacterial small subunit ribosomal RNA", at positions 523 to 1482 of the family's 1533-position model. The record is from RNAcentral.